AGUUGCUGAUGCUAGUGCCGAGCUAAUUUUGGAGUUCUGCGUGGCAGUAGCUGCAGCCAGGGCUGCUGCUAGUCCAGCAACGGAGAGAAGAGUGUGAGUGUGUGCAUUUUCCAUACGCGCCUUAUCUUUCUUUUUCAAAGUGUUACUAUCUAUGCUCUCCUUGUGGUGAAACAACCUUCCAAUUGCUCCGCCUCUUAUUCGCCCGUUUACUGGUUUCAUGGACUGCACAUGAGUUUGCACACAGUUAGGAUUAUUCACUCCAUCUACAUAUUUGUGUGUGUACAUUGAUGGAAAUCAAUAGAGGCUUACGAGACUUUGUGGAGUGAAUGUUUCAUGGAUAAUGCUGAGAUUAUUGUCGAAUGCAGGUCGCAUCUGCUUGGUAGCAAGUGCUUUUGAUAAUUCAUCUGCGGAGAGACUCCAAGACCUUGACAAGAACACCAUUGGCUCCUUAGGCGUUUCUGGCUGUGGUAUUGCAGGUAAUGCCGCUUCUCCUUUGAGCUUGUCGUUGUCUUCUUCUACGUGCUUCUUCCACCAUGGUAGUUGAUUGCUUUCCAUUUCGAUUAAUAUAAGUGGAACUGGAACACCUGAGCAUAGAUUUAUCAAUGAAUGAUUCCCAGGUCAUGAGAGAGAGAGAGAGAGAGGUGCAUACCUUUGGAUGUUUGAUGAAUGAGUAUAGUUAAGAUUGUUGUGAGAGAUUGGGUAGUUGAUACUUAUAGAUAAUGCAAAGAGAGACAUAAUGCUAGAAAAGAAUACAUGAGUGGCGCCUCGUGCUUGAAACUUGCCAUGAAAUCUGCUGUUUUACUUAUAAUAUUCGUCGCCA
This 820-nucleotide long non-coding RNA is filed under the name Salvia miltiorrhiza (redroot sage). RNAcentral describes it as "long non-coding RNA (SMIL_LNC006132)". The record is from RNAcentral. Lineage: Eukaryota; Viridiplantae; Streptophyta; Magnoliopsida; Lamiales; Lamiaceae.